CUCAAUGAAAUUUCAAUAGCCGCAAUAUUAUUUGUGCUAAGGUAGCAUAAUCAUUUGUCUUUUAAUUAAAGACUAGAACAAAAGAUUUAAUAUUUCUAUUUCUUUCUAACAUAUAAUUAUUUAAUUUAUCUUAAAUAUAAAAAGAUAUUUAUAAAAAAAAAAGACGACAAGACCCUAUUGAACUUAACUAAAGUUAAACUGGGGUAGUUAAUUAAAUACAAUUUUAAUUUAAAUUUCAAAAAAAUCUAAUAUAAUUAAAUUUAUCAAGUUACCAUAGGGAUAACAGCGUAAUAAUUUUCUAUAGCUCUUAUUAAAAAAAUAUCUUGCGACCUCGAUGUUGAAUUAAUAAUCUACUAAAUGCAAUAAUUUAAUAAGAAAGUCUGUUCGACUU
Molecule: ribosomal RNA, 391 nt
Filed under: Dichodactylus satoi
Lineage: Eukaryota; Metazoa; Arthropoda; Arachnida; Araneae; Agelenidae
Description: partial 16S ribosomal RNA
Source: RNAcentral